RNAcentral lists this ribosomal RNA (404 nucleotides) under Verrucomicrobiota bacterium. RNAcentral's name for it is "Verrucomicrobia bacterium partial 16S ribosomal RNA". It matches the Rfam family "Bacterial small subunit ribosomal RNA", at positions 355 to 776 of the family's 1533-position model. Lineage: Bacteria; Pseudomonadati; Verrucomicrobiota. The record is from RNAcentral.
UGGGGAAUAUUGCACAAUGGGGGAAACCCUGAUGCAGCGACGCCGCGUGAGCGAAGAAGGCCUUCGGGUCGUAAAGCUCUUUUAUGAGGGAAGAUAAUGACGGUACCUCAAGAAAAAGCCCCGGCUAACUACGUGCCAGCAGCCGCGGUAAUACGUAGGGGGCUAGCGUUGUCCGGAAUCACUGGGCGUAAAGGGUUCGCAGGCGGAAUAACAAGUCAGAUGUGAAAGGCAUGGGCUCAACCCAUGUAAGCAUUUGAAACUGUAAUUCUUGAGAAGUGGGGAGGUAAGUGGAAUUCCUAGUGUAGCGGUGAAAUGCGUAGAUAUUAGGAGGAAUACCUGUGGCGAAGGCGACUUACUGGACACAAAUCUGACGCUGAGGAACGAAAGCGUGGGUAGCAAACAGG